AAGUCGUAACAAGGUCUCCGUUGGUGAACCAGCGGAGGGAUCAUUACAGAGUUGAAAAACUCCCUAAACCCUUUGUUUAUCUACCUGUUCAGUUGCUUCGGCAGGCGGCCCCAGGGCGGGGCCUCCGGCCUGCUUAGGCAGGUGCCUGCCGCUGGCGCAAAAAACUCUUGUUAUAUGUUACCACUCUGAGUCUCAAAAAAAUGAAUCAAAACUUUCAACAACGGAUCUCUUGGUUCUG
RNAcentral lists this unclassified non-coding RNA (238 nucleotides) under Conlarium sp. RNAcentral's name for it is "partial internal transcribed spacer region". The stretch from base 1 to 46 matches the Rfam family "Eukaryotic small subunit ribosomal RNA", at positions 1786 to 1831 of the family's 1831-position model. The record is from RNAcentral. Lineage: Eukaryota; Fungi; Ascomycota; Sordariomycetes; Conlariaceae.